UCGAGCGGAGAGGGAGCUUGCUCCUGGAUUCAGCGGCGGACGGGUGAGUAAUGCCUAAGAAUCUGCCUGGUAGUGGGGGAUAACGUCCGGAAACGGGCGCUAAUACCGCAUACGUCCUGAGGGAGAAAGUGGGGGAUCUUCGGACCUCACGCUAUCAGAUGACCCUAGGUCGGAUUAUCUAGUUGGUGGGGUAAAGGCCUACCAAGGCGACGAUCCGUAACUGGUCUGAGAGGAUGAUCAGUCACACUGGAACUGAGACACGGUCCAGACUCCUACGGGAGGCAGCAGUGGGGAAUAUUGGACAAUGGGCGAAAGCCUGAUCCAGCCAUGCCGCGUGUGUGAAGAAGGUCUUCGGAUUGUAAAGCACUUUAAGUUGGGAGGAAGGGCAGUAAGUUAAUACCUUGCUGUUUUGACGUUACCAACAAAAUAAGCACCGGCUAACUUCGUGCCAGCAGCCGCGGUAAUACGAAGGGUGCAAGCGUUAAUCAGAAUUACUGGGCGUAAAGCGCGCGUAGGUGGUUCAGCAAGUUGGAUGUGAAAUCCCCGGGCUCAACCUGGGAACUGCAUCCAAAACUACUGAGCUAGAGUACGGUAGAGGGUGGUGGAAUUUCCUGUGUAGCGGUGAAAUGCGUAUAUAUAGGAAGGAACACCAGUGGCGAACGCGACCACCUGGACUGAUACUGACACUGAGGUGCGAAAGCGUGGGGAGCAAACAAGAUUAUAUACCCUGGUACUCCACGCCAUAAACGAUGUCGACUAGCCGUUGGGAUCCUUGAGAUCUUAGUGGCGCAGCUAACGCGAUAAGUCGACCGCCUGGGGAGUACGGCCGCAAGGUUAAAACUCAAAUGAAUUGACGGGGGCCCCGCACAAGCGGUGGAGCAUGUGGUUUUAAUUUCGAAAGCAACGCGAAGAAUCCUUACCUGGUCCUUUGACAUGCUGAGAACUUUUCCCAGAGAUGGUAGUGG
This 965-nucleotide ribosomal RNA is filed under the name Pseudomonas sp. RNAcentral's name for it is "bacterial SSU rRNA". It matches the Rfam family "Bacterial small subunit ribosomal RNA", at positions 62 to 1015 of the family's 1533-position model. Lineage: Bacteria; Pseudomonadati; Pseudomonadota; Gammaproteobacteria; Pseudomonadales; Pseudomonadaceae. The record is from RNAcentral.